AAAUUGGAAAAUAGUUUGAUGAAAUUCAAGCAGGACAUAUGAAAAAAUACUACACUUAGAGAGGAAUAAUCAAUUCCAAAAAUACAAAAUGGGAAAUGACUGCCAAUGAAGGAGUACAGCAGAAAAGGAUCUGGGGAUUAUAGUGGAUCACAAACUAAAUUUGAGUCAACAAUGUAAUACUGUAAAAA
This is a long non-coding RNA of Chelonia mydas (Green sea turtle), 188 nucleotides long. RefSeq lists it as uncharacterized. The transcript is spliced from 3 exons. NCBI's taxonomy places the organism in Eukaryota, Metazoa, Chordata, Testudines, Cheloniidae. The record is from RefSeq and is a predicted model, not a curated record.